CCUGGAUGUGAGGGAUGAAUAGCAAAGAAACAGCUGGAAAUGAAACAAGACAGGUGCAGAAAGGAGAGGGAAGAAGGAAUUGAAAAUGACAACUCUGAAACUCAGUGCUCUGGAUGGAGUAAACGCAUGAGAAGUGAUACCAGGAAUUUUAGAAGGAAGCUGUCACAGGACUUAAUGGCACCCUAAUGCUGAUGUGUUCACCUUUACUAAAUAAUUUCCAGGAGUCAGUGAGCUGCCAAAGACAGGAGGAAGUUGACUGACUGUGCAGGAGACAGUAAAAGUGCCUAUACAGAGUGGGAAACAAACCAUAGUUUUGCAAAGCUUCUGUGGUCUGCUGAUGAAAAGUGGUGUAUAAAAGGUAGACGCUGUUCCAACAGAUGCCUCCGAGAACCCACCUACCAGCAACUGAGCUACAUAUUCAAGAGAGACUGCUUCAAGGAGACCAGCACUUGGAAGAUGGUAUUUUCAAAUAGUAAAAAUAAAAAAGCAUUUCCUAAAAUGUUGCUGGACAGGCAAUUCAGGUUGUAGG
Gallus gallus (chicken) is the source of this 529-nucleotide long non-coding RNA. The record is from Ensembl. Lineage: Eukaryota; Metazoa; Chordata; Aves; Galliformes; Phasianidae.